Molecule: ribosomal RNA, 450 nt
Filed under: uncultured soil bacterium
Lineage: Bacteria
Description: bacterial SSU rRNA
Rfam family: Bacterial small subunit ribosomal RNA
Source: RNAcentral
GAAUUCGAUUAACGCGAAGAACCUUACCCAGGCUUGAACUGCAGAUGACAUCCUACGAAAGUAGGCUCCCGAAAGGGCAUCUGUAGAGGUGCUGCAUGGCUGUCGUCAGCUCGUGUCGUGAGAUGUUGGGUUAAGUCCCGCAACGAGCGCAACCCUUGUCUUCUGUUGCCAUCGGGUCAUGCCGGGCACUCUGAAGAGACUGCCGGUGACAAACCGGAGGAAGGUGGGGAUGACGUCAAGUCAGCAUGGCCUUUAUGUCUGGGGCCACACACGUGCUACAAUGGCCGGUACAAACCGUCGCGAUCCCGCGAGGGGGAGCUAAUCGGAGAAAGCCGGUCUCAGUUCGGAUUGCAGGCUGCAACUCGCCUGCAUGAAGCUGGAAUCGCUAGUAAUCGCGGAUCAGCACGCCGCGGUGAAUACGUUCCCGGGCCUUGUCACACCGAAUCACUA